Mus musculus (house mouse) is the source of this 16412-nucleotide long non-coding RNA. RefSeq annotates it as predicted gene, 36826. The record is from RefSeq and is a predicted model, not a curated record. The transcript has 3 exons. NCBI's taxonomy places the organism in Eukaryota, Metazoa, Chordata, Mammalia, Rodentia, Muridae.
CUGAGCCAUCUCUCCAGCCCGAACUCAGUUAUUUUAAAACAAUAAAACUACAUGCUUAGUGAUAAAAAGUUUUUAUUUAGUCAUUUUUAUUUAAUUUUUUUUUUAAAAAAGCUCUUCGUCUUCUGUAGUCACUGAAUACAGAUGCAAUUUAAUGAAAUAAAAACUUAAGGCAAGGCAGCCUUAAGUUUUGUCUCAUUUAAAUGACAUUUGACUCAGUUUUCUGAAACCGGGAUACUAUAUGUGUGACUACAGAUGGAACUCUCAGCAGCUUUGGGUCUCUCUGUUCUCACACUGGCCUUGGCAGAGGGCGGUGUGUCCUGUCAGGUGGUAGGGGAGGGCACGUGGCUCCUCCCUCUGUGAGUUGCCUGCUAGCUCCUAGCUAAGGCCUUGACUGGCUUUUCUUUGUCUCCAGCGCUCCCUUUUGAUACCUGAAGUGAGAAGCUGCUCCUUUGAGUUGUGAUUUUUGCCUAACUGACCAGAUUGUUGAAUGACUGUAGCCAGUUUGUGUGUGUGUGUGUGUGUGUGUGUGUGUGUGUGUGUGUGUGUGAAAACUCAAGAGGCCAUCCAGGAAGGCUAUUCGUCCUUCUCGUUUGUGUAGUUGGGAAACUUCAGCAGUUUCAUGAAAGCUCUCCUUCCUCUUUUUAUAUCAAGCUCUUUCCCGGGAAAAUGGCAGAUACCUAAACUGCUAAUUUCCUGUUUAUAUUUGCAUAUACUAACCUAGGAUCUCAAGAGAAAAUAGGACAGUGGGAUGUAAAGCCUGAUUUGAGGUCAAAUCAGCUAGAAAACACGGCAAAUAAGUUUACCGUCAUCUCCAACUUCAGUAAUGUUGUCUCGGGGGCGUCCAUGUGCAUCGUUAGGUUCUUUUGAACAACAGUACGCCAUCUGAUGAAUUUACAUACACAAAUACUUCCAAUUAACAUUUGUUUAUUAUUUUGCAUUUCACUGCUAUUUACUACCAGAUUUCAAGACAAUAGUCAAUUCUGUAACCUCUGUUUUGUAAAAACCACUAGUAUUUUGGGUCCCUAGCAACCAUUUCGUAUGUAAAUUAGGCAUUCUCAGGCUUAAUGUACUUCAUUUUUAUAAAACAAAUACAUCAUUAAUCUGAUUAAGUUCUUGGAUGGGAGAGCCGUCCUCAGAUCAUUGUGGAUCAUUUAUCGUUGGGCGUGCAUCCAAAAGAAAAAUUCAAGCACAGUACCGGAGUCGAGGUUCAGGAGAAUUGUUGAAAUCCCCUAAAUGACGUUUCCAAAAGAGCAGAAAGGCACUGCUCACUCUGAAUUGCAAGCAUCACCCCAAACUUAAUGAUGCCCUCCCCCUUAGCUCCAACUCAGCCUGAUGAUGGCACAGGGCCCGGAACUAUGAUGCUGCAGGUGUGUCAGGGGAUGAAGGUGGUCCUCGGGGUCCAGGGGAGAUUCCAGCUUUGCUGCCACGACUCAGUCACCAUUCAAGUCGCUUCACUGCCCUGGGGAUGAUUUGGCAUGCCUUUAGCUUUUAGACAGGCUUAUUACUACUUAAGAACUAAAAAAUAUUAUAUCAUAUAUUAAGAUUAAAUGGUUUAUUGAUAUAGCAGAUGGAGCUCUAAAGAAAAACCAGAAUGUAGUGUUCUGAGUUCUGCCUUCCAUAGUCCAGAGUUUUCGGAGGUUGGGUUUUACCAAUGACGCAGGAUCCCAUAAUGCUUUUCUUCACUGCGUGUCUGCCGUGGUGCUCGUCAUUCAGCUGUCCUGUGGGGGCGGCUUGUUUAUUCCCAUGGGACAGUUAACUACACACAGACUCAGAGGGGCUAGCUAGAGCCAUUCUAGGAAUCAACCUGACUUCUUACCCGAAAGCCUCUUUCCCCUUAGACAGGGGAGGGACAGAACGGGACCUGCUAGGCCGGGAUCAGGUUAAAGAGGGACUGGCAGUUUUUUUCUUUUCUUUCUUUCUUUUUUUUUUUUUUCUUCUCCUUACUAUAAAAGGUCCAAGAGUAAAUAUUAAAGGCUCCAAGGACCACAUAAAAUACUUAUUUCCUAGUCUUUUUCUGAUUAACAAUUUAGUUUUGAGAUGUUAGUGUCACCAUGUAGCCCAGGCCAGUACCUUAUGUAGACAAGGCUGGCUGGGACUGAGGUUAUUGUCUUCCCUCUGUCUCAAGUUCUGAGGAACAGGCAUGUGCUACCUACCCGUGCAAUCUGAUUGUCAACAAAUCUUCAAAGCCGCGGGGCGGAGGGUGCGCUGCAGUUGUCCUCCCAUCCAGGACACAGAGAUGGAAUUCCGGAAAGGGGAAUUUGAAGACUCCUCUGCAGACGUCAGGAAAAUGACUGACAGGUGGAAAUGCACAAAUGCUGACUGUGUAUGUGUAGCUCAGCAUGCGAUGUGCAACCCUGAAGAAUGAACGAACGAACGAACGAACGAACAAACGAACGAACGGCCUACUUAAACUACCUUUCCCGCUCUCCCACGGUCAGGCGAUGCAGUUAUGAGGUAAUUGAGUAGGACUCAGAGAGCUAUGCCUCCUUGUUUCCUACCUUUCCCGCUCUCCCACGGUCAGGCGAUGCAGUUAUGAGGUAAUUGAGUAGGACUCAGAGAGCUAUGCCUCCUUGUUUCCUACCUUUCCCGCUCUCCCACGGUCAGGCGAUGCAGUUAUGAGGUAAUUGAGUAGGACUCAGAGAGCUAUGCCUCCUUGUUUCCUACCUUUCCCGCUCUCGCACGGUCAGGCGAUGCAGUUAUGAGGUAAUUGAGUAGGACUCAGAGAGCUAUGCCUCCUUGUUUCUAGUUUUGCUGACCUCUGGGACUUUCUUUUUAGGUCAGUUCCUUUAGGGUCACAGGGCAGAGGUCAUCUCCAUCAGAAAGGGGCUUAGGAACAGAGCACACUUACUUUAUCCUUUUACCAUGUUUGUCUAACCGGAAGUUCCUGGAGUCAAGUGAUCCCUCAGCCUCUGGUCUCCUGAGUAACUGAGACUGAAGUUGUGUGUCACAGUCUCUUAAGUAGCGCAUUCAUUCCCUUCCCCUCGCUGCCCUCCCCUCCCUUUCUGUCCCCUCCCCUUCCCUCUUCUUUCUUUGUUGAUUUUUGAGAUAGACUGUCUUUAUAGUCUAGGAUGGCCUUGAACUUUGCCAGCCCAUCCUAGGCAUUCCCGUUCAUGUUCCACAGAUGUACCCUCACUCUCACCAUUCUGUGCUAUGGUUGCUGAUUUUAAGCCACAAAACCUUUGUCCCUUGUUUUUUCUCAUUAACCAUUUUUUUUUAAAUGGCAUUAUUUUUCCAACGAACUCCUUUUAAGUUGGAGGGGUCAGAAUUCUCCCUUUAUAGCUGUAUUGAUAUUUCUGCUUUUUCUCAAAAUAGCUUGUGUUACAUCAGCCCUUCUGCCUGAAUUCCACACCUUGAGAGAGGAAUGUGCGCAUUCAGUGCUGUGCCUGUCCCCACCCAGGUUACGCCCUACCCUGUCUUUGUCCCAGCUCCACUUUCUUGGUAACUUUUCCUGCUCACUUGCUGUCUGUUUAAAUGUCAGAACACUUUCCCUGUGACUCAGUACAUAUUUAUAUUCCAGUCUCUUUUUCUGUUUGAGACGUCUUCAUGCUCUUCAUGGCUUUUGAUUUGACUUGCUAGAAAAUAGUUAUCCUUUGCCCACAUCAUGAGUUUUCAGGAUUAUAAAACUCUUUGACCUUUAAACUAUGACUAACAAUCUGCUGCAAUCAUUGCUGGUAGGUGAGAAGAUGCAGACUAAACUGUGAGUGAGCUACAAGAUCAGAGUGCUGACUCUCUGGCCUGAAUCUUCACCAUUCUCAUCGAGAGAGUAGCUCUCGUUGCCAAGGCCGUGGAUCUUAAUUUACUUGGUAUUGUGUUGUAUUCUAGCAUGUUCUAGGACAAGAAUAUCCUCCUUCCUUCCUCUCUCUCUCUCUCUUUCUCUCUCUCUCUCUUUCUUUCCUUUCUUGAAGGUUUCUCUGUAUAACCAGGUUGGCCUCGAACUCAGAGAUCCAACCAGCCUGUGGUCCCCACAAGUGCUGGGAUUAAAGGUGUGCAGCACCACUGCCCAGCUAAAUAUAGUGUUUUAUGGAGUCAUCAAAUAUACAUGCUUAACUGUAUAAAAAAAGCAGUUAUAAUUUCUUAACCCAAUACAGAAUAAGUAAUACCCUUUAAUUUGUUGAGUUUUUCUCCUGCUUCCCCCAUAUCUCUGUAUCUAUCAUCUAUUUUUAUCUAUCUAUCUAUCUAUCUAUCUAUCUAUCUAUCUAUCUAUCUAUCUAUCCAUCUCUCUAUCAUCUAUGUAUCUAUCAUCUAUCUGUCUUAUCUAUUUUUAAUCUAUCAUCUAUGUAUCUAUCACCUAUGUAUCUAUAUAUCUAUGUAUUUAUGUAUCUAUGUAUGUAUGUAUCUAUCAUCUAUCUUAUCUAUUUAUAAUCUAUCAUCUAAAUAUCUAUCAUCUAUGUAUCUAUCAUCUAUCACCUAUCUAUGUAUCUAUGCAUCUGUGUAUCUAUCUAUCCAUCUAUAUCUAUAUAUCAUCUAUCAAACAUCUAUUUAUCUAAUAUCUAUCUAUCUAUCUAUCUAUCUACCUAUCUAUUGCUUUAUCUAUCUAACAUCUAUCUAUCUAUCUAUCAAUUAACCAUCUGUGUCUGUAUCAUCUCUAUAUAUCUAUAGACAAGAAGGUUUCAGUUUUCUGCUGUAUCCCUCUGUCGAUAUCAAUUAGUGAGUGCUUCUGUAGAAGGUGAUUUGAAGACUUGGAACUACAAAUCAGUCUGAUAAUUGGGUUCUAUCUUUUCUAUUUUGAGCCACAGUGUUCUGAGUAUUUUGACACAGGAGCUUUUAUACUUGAAAUAAUAUAAAAGCAAGAGAAUAUUCUCUUUCAUCUGCAUUUCUGAGACUUAAGCUACAUUUUUUCCCUUUUCUUUCCUUCAGUGUCUACUGUGUGCAGGUAACACAGGAGUGAUGCAGAAGAGGCUGCCCCUCCGUAGUCCUUAAGAGAAACAUCUGCUCCCUUGGUGAAUGGGCAUGCUGGUAGCAGCUUGGGAGAUAAAUCAAUCUGGCCCAGUGGUUUAACUUUUCCUAAGUGAGCUUCCACCUAAGAGAAGGAACUGUACAGAUGCAGGGAGGAGAAAGCUGUGUGGCUGGGCCCUGCCACCGGCCCUGUCAACAUCCUCAGAGGCCAGACGGAAAGAGGGGCUCAUCAGGCUCAGAGACAUCAGAUGGAAUACCCCAUAGAGCUUGCUUGCUCUGUCACUGUCUCUGUCUCUGUCCCUCUGUCUGUCUUUUUCUUUCUCUCUCUGUAUGCAUGCGUAAAGUAAAACUACAUACAUAAAACCAAAAUGUACAUGUGCAUAUGAAGCAAGAUAAAAUGCAUAUCAUUUUACAUCUGCUUAUUGUAUGUUGAUGAAGGUUGAUGAAGUCUUUUCACAAAACGGCCUCGGAGCCGUGUCUUCCCCACGCCCCUUGACCAGCUCGAAGCUUUCGAUGCUUCCUUGCACCGUAGCGCAAUGUCAGCCUCCGUCUCCAGGUUGUCUCAGAAUUCUCUGGCAAACUUCUGCCAGCUUCAGAGUAUAACUGAGACCUUCCCUUCCUGCUGAAGCCUCCUCCCCUUGUAUUAUAGCAUUUGGGGCACCCAGUUAUUCUUGAUGUCAGCCAUGCCUCCGUCUGCUGGAACUGGGGUGGUUUUUACAUCGCUAACAUCUGGCGUGAAUCUCUUCUUCUGGGAGGUUGUAAUAAAUGCUUGGAUGACUGAAGGAAUAAGUGAAUGAAAAAAAAAUCCCGCCUCGUGUUCAACGCCUGCUUGGGUCCUUCCAUCCCACCUCAUGUUUGAAGCGUGCUGGGUCCUUCCGGCCCAUCUUUUCUUUUGUGCUAUUUAAUCUUUUUUCUUGUCACACAUUUUCCUGUCCCCCUCCAGUAGAUGUUAGAGUUCAGGAAAUCUGCGUUUGAAGAUUUAAAAUAUAGUGCUUUGAACUCCUUAGAGGAAAAGCUAUGAAUAAAUAAUUAGACUCAUUUCACAUCAAAAUCUAAAGUGUGGAAAAAAAAGUUCGUAUCAUUUGGUGCUUUAUUCACGUGUAUGGUAAUCUGAUGGCACAUCCAUUGUUAACACAGAGCUACACUGAAAUAUUUUACUCUCGGGGCUUUUCAUGUGACAGAAGACGGCUUUUUUGAAAAUGAAAAAGCUCCUGUCCCUGGCAUGCCAAGUUGAAAUUUGUUAGUUUUGAAAAGCGUGGAUAAAUAUAACUGUGUUUUCCUCGGACAGUACUUGAGAAGUUCCCGCCUGCAUCAGUGUUGCACAUGAGCGCAUACGACAGUCCUGCCGACUUUGGGGGGGUGUAAAUCAGGGGUGUUGCCGAGGAGCUGCUUAGCGUUUUCCUGAGGGUGAAGUGCUUAGGUUUGGAAUUUAAUUGCAGGUUUUACGUUUAAGCUGUUCAGUAUUAUUCUCAUAAAGGUUCUAUACAUUUCGUGCUCUGUAGUUUCACAGGCUUAGUCACCACAGUUGAAAGACAUCAUCUUCAUAAUGAAGCCAGAAAUGAAAAAAGGUUGAUCACGCACGGUGGCUGGCUGGGACGCUGAACAAUAGCGUAUGACUUCUUCAUGUCUAUUAAGUUAGACUGUGGGGUGUGUUUAUCUUCCUGCAAUGAUACCGAACUGUAACAAGAAAAUGUAACGCUGUGCAGCUCUGCCAGGGGGUGUGCGUCUGUUCUCACUUGGUGUGGAUGGUAGGGGCUCUGUACGCUGCCUACUGGGCUCAGUCUAAAGUCAUAGAACUGGGCGUGAUAUUGAAACAAGAUACGUAAAUAAAAAGUGCAAAGGCUUUCAAGUACCCUCUAAAACUUGUGUUGUUAUCUGUCUUCACGGGGCCUGUGUUAGCUCAGGAAGUGUGAUGCGCGAGAAAAUGCCACUUAUAGCUUCUUGGAAGUAAAUAAGUGAUAUGGUCUGGUGGCAGAGCUAAAGGAUAGUAUGAUGCAUAGGUGAUAGAUUUACUCAGCACUUCUGUACACUUCAUAUGGUUCCGUUCAGUUCUUUGACUGUUAGUGAAAUGCUGACUGUGUUCCCAGUGCUCCAUCAGAUACUGGCAGAGAUUUCUAAAGGAGUAUGAGAUCAAGUCCAGCCCUGAAGAACUUGGCAUUCUGGUAGAGACAGAAAUGAUUCCUUUGAACUGUUAGAUGUGUGAGUGACAGUACUGUAAGCUGUCAAGAUCGUUUAAACAUUGAUUCUGUUAUUAUAUGUAUCAUUCCCGACAUGUCACAUGAGCACAUGAUAGGCAUACCCUUUAUGUCCUUAAGUCACUGCUAGAAACUGACAAUUCAAGACCAAGAGUAAAGGCAAGAAGGAGCCUUCUGAUGCUUCCCACGCUGCUCUCAACGGGCACCCUUUGUCUGUUCGUGAACAGUGCUUCAUUUUCUAGAUAUGUAUCAACCAGCUUGUGAUCUGUCACCCCGAGUUAUCACGAUGUUAUCAUUCAUGUUUCUUAUAUACUUGCUUCCUUUUUCUAAAAUAUCAAGAAAGUAUUUCCAUAUGCCUGUUUCUUUUUUCUCUACUUGUCAGGAUUUUUCAGUGUGAUUACUGACAGGAGACCAUAGAUACAUGUCAAAUUUAGCUGGCAUGGAGGAAUACAAAUUGCCCUAUUCAAACCCCCUUAGAGCAACUACUAGAUCAUAGGUUGUUUCCUUAUUUACUGUGGGCUACAUGCUCUCUGUAUUGUUUAACUUUCUCUUCUUGACUGAAGACCUCUUUUCUUUCUGGGGAAAAUUGAAUUGAAAUAGAAAUGGUGUACUCACAUAGCUAACAGCCACUUCCUAAUGUUUUUUCCUAAAUAGAAGAACCAGAACUCAAGGUUUAUUUACAGCAAGAAAACAUUCUCCAGACUCUUGUAGCUCUAGAUGCCCUUGUUGACACAUUUUGAUCAAUUAGUUACUAGGGAAAGUCUCUAGAUACAGUCUAUCAGUUAUCUGAUGAUGUGUGAUAAAAUAUCACAAACCUAAUGUCUUAAAACAAUAAGCAUGUAUCAUUCCACACAAUUUUGAAUUACUAACUCAUACAUACUGUGUUGUGCAGUUUUGGGGCUUUGGCUUUCUAAUGGGCUCACAGUCAAGAUAUUAGGAGACCUUGUAGUUAUCUUAAAGACUCACGAGGAGAAUCUUUAAACAUGACCUGCUAUUGUCUCCCUUAAAUAAGUUUCAUAAUACUAAUGGUAAUGGUUUCCCCAGGCAGGCGCAGGUGUUGUAUGCAAAGCACUAUUACAUGGCUUUGGCUACUGUGAACUUCAAGAUGCAGAAUAGAAUUAGUUUAUGUUGAUAGCAUCAUUCAUUGGUUUCUCCAAUUAAAAAAAAAUGUUGGCCUGGGCAAUGGUGGCACACGCCUUUAAUCCCAGCACCUGGGAGGCAGAGGCAGGUGGAUUUCUGAGUUCAAGGCCAGCCUGGUCUACAGAGUGAGUUUCAGGACAGCCAGGGCUUCACAGAGAAACCCUGUCUCAAAACAAACAAAAAGUGUUGGAAUAAUUUGAAUUCUCCAUCACUCUUACAACAUGCUUUCUUUUAUAAAACUAUAAAACUUUUGUGAUUACCCCCUAUCUUAGUUAGGCUUUAAUUGCUGUGAAGAGGCACCAUGACCAAGGCAACUCUUUUAAAUAUGUUUUUUAAAUAUUUAUUUAUUUAUUUAUUAUAUGUAAGCACAUUGUAGCUGUCUUCAGACACUCCAAAAGAGAACAUCAGAUUUCGUUAUGGAUGGUUGUGAGCCACCACGUGUUUGCUGGGAUUUGAACUCAGGACCUAUGGAAGAGCAGUCGGCGCUCUUAACUGCUGAGCCAUCUAACCAGUCCCCCCCCCCCACCCUAAGGCAACUCUUAUAAAAGAAAACAUUAAUUGGGGAUGGCUUACAGUUUCAGAGGUUCAGUCCAUUGUCAUCAUGGUGGGAACAUGGCAGUGUGUGGCAGACAUGGUACAGGGAGAGCUGAGAGGUCUGCAUUUGGAACCAGAGGCAGCAGCAGGAGACUCUCAGCUGCAGGCAGCUCUUCUGCACUGGGCAGAGCUUGAGCACGAGGGGCCCUUGAAGCCCGCCUACACAGUGACUGACACACUUUCUCCAAGAAGGCCAACCUCCUAUUAGUGCCAUUUCCCAUGGGCCAAGCAUGUUCAAACCACUACACCCCUUACCCAUGACUAAGGGGAUAUUGCUGAAGAAGGGAUGGAGAGGGGACAAGAGAUGAAGGAAUGGCUUUUGUGGCACAGCAGUUGCAGCUCAUGAGCUCACAGUGGCUCUGGUUGCAUCCUGCAGCAGGACUGCCUAAGAAAGCUAGCCGGAAUUCCAGCAUGGAUAGGGAAGCAUACUCAGGGGAGGAGCUCAGAAAGCUGUACACCUAGCUGAGGGUGUGACAGUUGAAGGCGCCUGUGGUUGAAAGGGUUAGUUCUUCCCUAGUGUGGUCCCUGAUGGGUUGGUUAUCCAUGCCUCCAUGGAUGGCCUUAUGCCUAUUCACAUUUAGACAGCUCUGCACUCAAGGGCUCUGCAAAGAGGACAUGCAGUUUGGAUGGAAGUGUUGUUAAGGGAAUUUGGGAGAGCUAUACCAGGAGUAGGGGUUUGGUAUUAUCCACAUACAUUUGUGCAUAUAUGGAAUUACAAAGAAUGAGUAAAAACGUGUGUAUGUGUGUGAUGUGAUCUGCCUGAUAAAACACUCUAGUUUCUGACCAAUCAGUCAUUUUAUACUAACUUAAGUUUGAUUUAAAACAAAUAGACAAUGUAUAGUUUGGAAUAGGUGCUGGAGAGAUAGCUCAUCUCAAGAGGAUACCAACCAUAACAUGUAAUCAGCUUUAUAAUGUUAACUAUGUUUGACGAUGGCAUGUGUCACCAGCAACAGGGCACAGAGGCAUGUGAAACCCAACUGUCACAUAGCUUUUUCCUGAGUACAUUCUAUGCCAGCUGGUGGGGAAAGCCGAAAACAAAUAGCCUUGGAGUUCUUCAUUCCCGUGAGCUGUUUCCCUGAAGAAACAGUUUUGACCAUGUGGUUGGUUGAAUGAUAAGUUGGUCUCCAUUAUAACCACAAGUUAUAGGCACAUCUCUCUUUGCCUUAACUGCCAUACAUAGAACACGUUCUGCUAAUUCCUUUACUACUUUAGUGUUGGUGAAGACCUGUACUCAAUUACCCAUAUAUUCUGUACUUAGAAUAAAUGUUUAUGUGCAUAAAAUUAGUGUAAUCAUUUAGGACAAGUACUUUUUAUCUUUGUAAUUGUGUUUUUAUUAUAUAUAUGACACAUCAACAUGGUAUCUAUGUAUAUGCAUAUAUGUAUAUAUUUUAGAACAACUUAGAACUUAGACAACAAUGCCCUUCACUAGUGUGCAGAUGCAGAAACAGAGAUUCUUAGUGGCUGAGAGACUUGAGGGCAUUGAACUAAUAAACAGGAAGACUAGGAUUAAAGCCCACAUUUUGCUGCUCACCUUGGCAUGGACAGUCUACUAGAGCAACAACAGUUCUUAACCUAUGGGUCAUGCUCCCCUUGAGGGUCAAAUAGCCCUUUCACAAAGACUGCCUAAGACCAUCAGAAAAUACAGAUAUUCACAUUACAGUCUAUAACAGUAGCAAAAUAACAGUUAUGAAGUUGCAUUGAAAAUAAUUUUCUAGUUGAAGAGCCUCACAAUAUGAGGAAAUAUGUUAAAAAAAAGUUGCAGCAUUAUGAAGGCUGAAAACCACUGUAGCAGAGCAGUUGAUUCUUUGUAUUCCUGUCUCAUUUUGUGUAAUUCUUUUACAGGUAUUCCUAAACGUAGGAACUGUAUAUGCUACCCAUAGCCUUUCCCCAAAUAUGCAUCACAUUAGUACCAUGGAGCAGCUUCUUACUGGCCAGAGCAGUGUACAUGUUCCAGAUGGUCUCUGUAGUGUUGAGUUACUCCUACUUUUCAGAUUCAUUCAUUUGUCUUCAUCUAGAUGUGUGUUACUGUUCGAGGUAUGCAUUUUAAGUUUGAAUUGCACUGUCGCAAUAGAGGCUGUAUUGUUUCCAGAUUCGUUCUUUUCCACUCAGUGUUUCACCGCUAGGCUGUCUGUUUUGUUGCAUGCUUCUGUUGGUUGUAUCUGGGGACCACAUCUAAGCAUAAGCUAUGAACUGUUUUUCUCAGGCAUGGUUUUGUGUCAGGGAAUGGAUCAGCAACAUUAAUUCAUUCAAUGACAUUUCACCAGUAAGAAAGAAUGAGUUAUUGAUAUACACUAAAAUGUGGCAAUGCCUCAUAAAACAUAAUAUUAAAUAUAAGGAAUCAGUCACAAAGAACAACAUUUGAAAGUCCUAUCUGUAUGAACUGAUCGGAGCAACUAGAUCUAUAGCGACAGGAAGUAGUCAAGCACUUACUUCAGGAGGUGAACUAGAGAGGAGGAAGGGGACCCCCCUCCCGCCAAUAUGAAAAUGCUUGAAACGUAACUGAAACCACGGUGUCAGAGCUCUAAGUAUGUGAAGAACUGUUGGUUUGGGGCUCUCUUUAAAUGGGUGAAGCCUAAGGCAUGGUAAUUCUGUCUUAAUAAAGCUCUCUUCAAAGGCCAAACAAAACCGUCACCAGAUCCUUUUGCAGGAGGCUGGUGUGACUUAAAGGCUGUCCCCUCAGCUUAGGGGACAACUGGAAGGGGAGACUCAGAAUUCCAGUCCCAAGGUUUCUCCUCUGGUUCCUUGGAGAGAAGCCAUGCAGGUUAUUUUAGCUAACAGUCUCGGACAGCGUAUCUGUCCCAGUCCUCCAUCUACCAUCAGUAAUGGCUUUCCCAAAUCUCCAGUUUUGGCUAUGCCCUGGGCUUUUUAUAUCUUACCAAAUAGAAACUGUGGAUGUCUUUUUCAUGAUAAUAUCUUAAAGUUAUUUUUGUAUAUAGUCCCUUAUAGGUAGUAUUUUUGUCUGUCCAAAGGAGAAGACAAAUUUUAUAGCUUUAUUAAAAGCAGUAGGAAUGGUGCAUUUGUGCUAAUUAAUGAUUGCUUCAAAACAGCAGAGAUGUCUUCCUCUCUGAAGAAUGGUAAUAAAUGGCUGAUUUUUGAAUAAAAGGGAUUCUGAUCUUUUAUGUCUAACUAUCUUAGACUAUAGUUAAUAUACUAGAGAGUUAAAUUCUGAUAUAUAUAUUUUUUACCUUGGUCUAUAUAUGUACUUUGAUGGUCACAAUAAAAUUCACAUUUAGCCAAUUAAACCAUGGUGGUUUUAAAGUGAAGUAUAAAAUUCCAUGAUAACUGAAGGGGGUGUCCGAGUGACUGGAAAGCAUCAGCUGAAGAUGGAGCGGGUUUAGGAAGGAAGCCGUGAAGAGAAAGCCGUCACACACACUUCAUCAACACUGUGGAAUGAGGGGCCAGUGCAUUUACUGAGUGGUGAUGUCCAGUGAACACAGAAACUAAUUGGUGGUUGAACAUGCCUCAGGAGCCCUGAUCUUAAGGUCAUAGCAGGCUCAGUGAAUAGUGCUGACUUAGGCUGCAUCUCGCCGAUAGCUGAUCUUACCAGUGAGCUGUUUAGAGUCAUUCACGCCUGAGCCCUCUCCCUGCACCUUGAAUGGCACGUCAGUGGUCACUGCUUCUGACAUCCUUUAUGUUUGCCCAGCCAGCUCUGAAUCUUUAGGUUGGGCUUCUGAGUGCUCAGGGAAGAAAAGAGAGAGGCAAUUAUUUUCAGUCAUUGAGUUUUGAAGAUCUUAGUGUUAAUUAUGCCAAACAUUGUUGGUACAUCAGCAAAUACAAAUGUUAAAAAGGGGUGCCAGGCAUUCCAGACCUGCUUAAACAUACUUUAUGGUGGUUAAGAAAGUCUUGUAUACACUAACAUUUCUGAGGUACAUUGUUACCCACGUGUUUUCAUGCAUUUCAAAAUGGAAUAUUCACAUUAAAAGCUCAUUUGUAUUUUGGAGUAUUAAAAAGCUUACUUUUAAUUAAUGUGUGCCUUCUUAUCAGUUGAAUUAAGAAGAAUAAAAAGCGCAAUUCAUUAUUUCUGUGUGGAAUCUGGAGUGAUGUGAAAAACAUUUCAACAAAACAAAACUGCCAUGGGUAGCUGUGAGAAACGGUUCAAAAAUUAAUUUAAGUAUUACAGUGGUCUUUGAAAUGGGAAUAUUGCUCUCAGUCAGGUCUGAACUUACCAAAGAUCCUUUGAGUAUGUAAGAUGUGCUUUGCCUAUUGUCUGCAGCCCCCUGUGCGCUCUGACCUGCAGUUUUGCAGGAAGUACCCACUCAAAGGGUGUCAGGAAGCCCCGAGCUGCCUUUGAGUGUUCAUCUGAGAUUCGAGUUAAGGAUGCGAAGCUGGUAUUCUUGUUUAUGACACAGAUUUCAAAACUCAUUUCUCCUAUAAAUAAAAGGAAAAGCAGAAAGGAUUCAAAGUCCCUAAAUCUAUGAGAAUCGUCAGUGUGUUCACUGAUGUUUUUGUUUGUUUGUUUGUUUUUACCAAAGCAAAUAUAUUCAGUCCCUAAAGAGGGUAGAAUGGGUGGCAUUCUUUUGCUGAGGCACAAAUUUAAAACGGGAUGGUUGUUUUUCACGAUGUAUAUGAUUACCGUAGAGGCCAUGUCAAGUCAGAAUAGUUGUACUGUUAUACAUUAGUGAUUCAAAAAAUCCCGUCACAUGACUCUAAUACAAAACCAAGUGUUCCUUCCGUGUGGCUGAUAAAAUACAUUCUACUGUUACUGUCAUAAUCCUGCCUUUCAAAUUAAGAUAUAAUAAUUAUUCAGAAUCUAAUAUGGAGUUAAUUUAGAUUCAAUUGUCUCUAUUAAGACAAAGAGGUAUGAUAGUUUUUAGAGAUGGAAAUGAUCAUCUAUGAGAAUUUGGCUGAAGUCAAAAGCUUCACUGUCAGCAUCAUAGGUUCAUUAUGAAGGAGAGCAUUAUCGUCGUCUUUGUGCUGUUCUUCAGCUCAUUUGUUCUUAGGAAACGUGUUUAUCUCUUACCGAAACUCUCUGAUGUAGACGGACAGAUAUGUGAUCAAGCAAGCGUCGUAAAACAUUAGUGAGAGGACCACGGUAGCAAGUAUGUACGGGUCUUCUCCACAGCGUUCUUCCAGAGUGACUCCAUGUCUCAAUAAAAGAACCUCUUUGGCUUUUGCCAAAGCAAAAUAGAUUUUUUUUUUUAGAUUUAUUUAUUGUUAUAUGUAAGUACACUGUAGCUGUCUUCAGACACACCAAAAGAGGGCAUCAGAUCUCAUUAUAGAUGGUUGUGAGCCACCAUGUGGUUGCUGGGAUUUGAACUCAGGACCUUAGGAAGAGCAGUCAGUGCUCUCAACCGCUGAGCCAUUUCUCCAGCCCAAAAUAGAUGUUUUAAUUAUGUAAGUAUAGUAUGUAGAUCCAAUAGAGUUUGUGUAUUGAUAACAUUAUGUAUUUAACAAAUUAGUAAGAGACAAAACUAAUUUCAAAUUAUAAAUUUGGAUACUCUUUACCGUACAUUUUUUUUGGUUGAUGGUCGUUUCAAAAGGUGGUUUAGUCAUUUUUAAAACUCCAGUUGAGGCAAUUACUUGAAUCAGUUCUAAGAUAGACUAUUUUUCAGUUUUGUUGGAGGGGCUGUGAUGAAGUGUUUGGUAAGUGUUCAUAAUAAAAUAUAUGUGUAUAUAAAGAACAUGAGUUCAUGUGACAUGGAGCACAUUUUCUUCCUCGUCAGUAUGGGUGCACUUUGGAAUGUGAUCAACAUUGUAAAGAAUGUUUGUUUAUUAGGUUAAAGCACACUGCUGGUGAUCUUACAUAUCAGAGAAGAAAUUCUUUAUUCAUAAAUUAAGACAACUGCUGCCUUUAGGGUGCUCUUAUUACUGCCCCCCACCCCCACCCCAGCUUGCCACAUGUGCGCUAAUGUGUUGUGGGCUCAGAAAUGAUAUGGAUGAGUAAUGCAUGUGUGCUCACAUCUCAUUUUUGUGACACACUUUAAAUAGAUACAAACUCACCAUAACUAAUGUAUCUACCCAGAAAUGCCUCUUGGCAGAUGUGGCUGGGUUGCCACCUCGUUCCGCGGCUGAUGCGUAUCUCACAGGUUGGCAUCCUUAGAGUCCAUACAUUCAGAAGUCAUUUUACAUCCGAUGAUCUAAGGUCGGUAUGGUUGAAGUAGGAUUUAUUUUUAACCUGAGUGUUCCACCCUCUUACAUUACCCCAGACUAGUUGGUAUUAAAACAAUGACAGGGGUGGGGGUGGUGGGGGUGGUGGGGAUGGAGGAGGGCAUCAAGUUGGCCCUUGCAUUCAUUAGCUGUGUUUACAAAUCAUCUGUCAUCAGUCCAGCCACCGCCUCUUUUAUCACAAGCUUUUGUGUUUGAUAUCAUGCUGGGGCAGAGUGGCUUAAUGGCAGGCCCCGUGCACCUUUUCACCCGUGUUCAGAGCAUCCAUGCUAAAGCGUACAGUGACUUGGACGUUAGGCAGGUAAACGAUACCUAAUGACAUAUUACACUAAACUGUGAAAGACCAGGUGCUUCUAGAGUGAUGCUUUCUGUCAACAACCUAUUUUGUGUUCUUGAAUAUAGCAGUGCUUGCUCCUGUGUUGGCAAUAUUAUCUAAUUUGAUGUGCCCUAUGAUACUUGAUCAGCCAUUAACAAUAGCUAAGCCUAUAGGGAGCUAGCACACAUAUGCACCCAUAGACAUACACAUAUCGACAUACAUGCGUGCUUCUUUACUUACUUGCAUGCAUAUGUGCAGUGAGUUUUGUUUGUUUGUUUGUUUGUCCUUCAUCAUUAAAGCCUUCGGUAGAGAGUCAUAAAUGGAAAACAGCUGUUAGUUUUAAGGUAAGAUAAUACGGGCUUUGGUUUGUUUCAAGUUAACCACAUGAUUUAAAAUUAGUGCAGGGUCUUGUAACAAAUGCCAGUAAUCUAAACAGAAGCCGUACCUCGCCCGUGGCUUCUGCGUGCAGUACAGGUUCAUUGCUGGAAUGCUUUCACAGCCCAUCACAGGAUGUAAUGAACAGCUAUUUUUAAACAGAAGAAAUUCAAGUUGACAGCUUGGCAGUGAAAUUCAGCUAGUGAGAUAAUUUUUGUCAUCUUUAGUAUAGAGAAUGGAUUCAGUUUGGUUUAAGGAAAUUUCUAUCUUAUGGCCUGUAGGGAAAAUAUUUUUAUUAAAAGAAAAUUUUGUUGUCCAUUUUGAGGGGCAGGUGUUACUGAUAAAGUAUGGAAUCGGCUUCUAAUGCAUUACUGAAAUUUCUCUAAAACCCAGAAUUAGAUAGAAUUUCUUAUUUUUUUGCUUCUGCUAAAGGUGAGAUAAUCUAAUAAGACAACCGUGAGGGGAACUCAACUACUGGAGGUCUAUCCCAUGAUGCUCUUUAGUCUUUCAGAGUUUAAAAUAAGGAGGUUUUUAAAUAACUGGGCAGGAAUGUAAAGUGUGGAGCAGCCUGUCUCUGCGAGAGUACAGGGUGGGAUUGUAGCAGGGAGAAAGGAAAGAGCCUGCCUGGUUCCUGGAGAGACACUCUUCACAUCUGAUCUCGAUAGCUUCGGAAAAACACGUUCCACGUUCCUAACAAAACAUCAUAUAAGUCAGUUAGUGGUGGCGCAUGCCUGCCUUUAAUCUCAAUACUUGAGAGAUAGAGGCAGGCAUAUCACUGUGAGUUUGAGGUC